CCUACGGGUGGCAGCAGUGGGGAAUAUUGGGCAAUGGGCGCAAGCCUGACCCAGCAACGCCGCGUGAAGGAAGAAGGCUUUCGGGUUGUAAACUUCUUUUCUCAGGGACGAAGCAAGUGACGGUACCUGAGGAAUAAGCCACGGCUAACUACGUGCCAGCAGCCGCGGUAAUACGUAGGUGGCAAGCGUUAUCCGGAUUUACUGGGUGUAAAGGGCGUGUAGGCGGGGACGCAAGUCAGAUGUGAAAACCACGGGCUCAACCUGUGGCCUGCAUUUGAAACUGUGUUUCUUGAGUACUGGAGAGGCAGACGGAAGUCCUAGGGUAGCGGUGAAAUGCGUAGAGAGUAGGAGGAACACCAGGGGCGAAGGCGGUCUGCUGGACAGCAACUGACGCUGAGGCGCGAAAGCGUGGGGAGCAAACAGGAUUAGAUACCCCUGUAGGC
This 443-nucleotide ribosomal RNA is filed under the name uncultured bacterium. RNAcentral describes it as "partial 16S ribosomal RNA". It matches the Rfam family "Bacterial small subunit ribosomal RNA", at positions 338 to 795 of the family's 1533-position model. The record is from RNAcentral.